GUGAAUCAUCGAAUUUUUGAACGCAAAUUGCACUCUCUGGUAUUCCGGAGAGGAUGCCUGUUUGAGGGUCAGUUUAAAUAAAAAUCGGUGUGGUUGCUGCCUUUCGUGGUGACGCACCGGAUUUGGGUCGUCUUGCCUUUGGUUAAGUGAUCUAUUAUUUUGCAUGAGUUUUUUCGAAUGUAUUUAAGUGAUUUUACGAACGGUGGCGUUAUAGAAUACUAGGCGUGGUCAUCUUCAUGAUU
This 242-nucleotide unclassified non-coding RNA is filed under the name Glomeraceae sp. RNAcentral describes it as "partial contains 5.8S ribosomal RNA and internal transcribed spacer 2". The stretch from base 1 to 71 matches the Rfam family "5.8S ribosomal RNA", at positions 84 to 154 of the family's 154-position model. The record is from RNAcentral. Lineage: Eukaryota; Fungi; Glomeromycota; Glomeromycetes; Glomerales; Glomeraceae.